This 302-nucleotide ribosomal RNA is filed under the name uncultured bacterium. RNAcentral describes it as "partial 16S ribosomal RNA". It matches the Rfam family "Bacterial small subunit ribosomal RNA", at positions 508 to 807 of the family's 1533-position model. The record is from RNAcentral.
GCAGUCGCCGCGGGAAUACAGAGGGUGCGAGCGUUAAUCGGAUUUACUGGGCGUAAAGCGUGCGUAGGCGGCUUCUUAAGUCGGAUGUGAAAUCCCUGAGCUUAACUUAGGAAUUGCAUUCGAUACUGGGAAGCUAGAGUAUGGGAGAGGAUGGUAGAAUUCCAGGUGUAGCGGUGAAAUGCGUAGAGAUCUGGAGGAAUACCGAUGGCGAAGGCAGCCAUCUGGCCUAAUACUGACGCUGAGGUACGAAAGCAUGGGGAGCAAACAGGAUUAGAUACCCGAGUAGUCCCUGUCUCUUAUAC